GUAACGGCCCCGGAAAUAUCAAAAUGAAAUGGGUAUUUAAAUAUAUCAAAUGCGGAAGCGAGAUCAAAAUUUCAGUUAACAUCCCUUACACGAAAAACCAAAAACGUACUUAAAAUAUAAAAGAUUAAACUAACUAAGAAAGAAACUCGAAAAUAAAACUAUGAGUAUGACUACAGAGUCUCUAGGCAUCCCCUUCGUCGUCCUCCUGCGGAACGGGCUCGGGAACCAUGUCUUCCUGAUCUGAAAUGGUUAAAUAAGGAGUGAGCUACACUAGCCCAGUAAGAACAUCACGAUAUCUCACCGUCACGGAGGUAAAGGUGGGUAGAAAAACACAAAAAGACCAAUGGAGCAUAAUUUACAACAAACUCGUUUAUUAACAUGAAAACUUUUACCAUCCACUUACCUCGGUGGAAUUUAUGAAAACAAUAUAAGAAAAACAAUAACAUUAUCAUAAUCAUUGAAUAAUAUGAGCUGUAAAACAUAACACUUAUCACGCCCCUGGAAAUUUCAAUCAUUGUACAACAUAUCUUUUUCUUAUUUACCAGCCUACUAGUAUCCGUGGGGGUCCAAGGGGUUCCGCUACCCGUUAACCUUUAACAUUCAUAAUCAGUUUCCAGGGCCGUCCCCCAUACCCCGUCCGGUAUGGGCGCCAAAACCAUGAACCUCAAUACCCCGUCCGGUAUGAGGGUGAAACGGGCCGUCCCCAUACCCCGUCCGGUAUGGGCGCCAAAACCAUAAGAUCUCCAUACCCCGUCCGGCAUGUGAGACCACAAUCCCGGUAGGGUUCCCUACGGACCCGGUCCGUCCACCAUCUCCCAGGAUAUCUAGUCAGGCUGACCCCCAUAAUACAAUUAUCAGUCUACACAAUCUUUCAUUUUCCUUUUCCUCAAUCAGCAUCAUCAAUUCACAUUUAAACAAGCAAAUCGUAAUUCAUACCAAACAGACAACAUACAGUAUCAGUUUUUUCAGUUAUUCAACCCAUAAUUAAUAAAAACGUAGUACAUGCACACAAAUCUGUAAAAUGAACACAUCAAACCUCAUUUUGCAUUUAAAGCUGUAAACAGGCCAAAUAACAGUAAAUCAUCAAUCACACUAGACUCGGGCUCCAUUAGCAACCUUAAGCAAUUUCACACAUGCGUUAAUUCAAGAAAUACCGUUUUAUCAUUUUGAACUUUAAUACCGUGAUAGGAAAUAGGGUGAGGGGUCCUUACUUGUUUUCGGGAUCCGAAUACGAUUCACAGUGCGCCUGCAGGC
RNAcentral lists this long non-coding RNA (1254 nucleotides) under Carica papaya (papaya). RNAcentral's name for it is "long non-coding RNA (CPAP_LNC001905)". The record is from RNAcentral. Lineage: Eukaryota; Viridiplantae; Streptophyta; Magnoliopsida; Brassicales; Caricaceae.